UACGUAGGGGGCAAGCGUUGUCCGGAUUUAUUGGGCGUAAAGAGCGUGUAGGCGGCUAUACAGGUCCGCUGUGAAAACUCGAGGCUCAACCUCGAGACGUCGGUGGAAACCGUAUGGCUAGAGUCCGGAAGAGGAGAGUGGAAUUCCUGGUGCAGCGGUGAAAUGCGCAGAUAUCAGGAAGAACACCCGUGGCGAAGGCGGCUCUCUGGGACGGUACUGACGCUGAGACGCGAAAGCGUGGGGAGCGAACAGG
RNAcentral lists this ribosomal RNA (253 nucleotides) under uncultured bacterium. RNAcentral's name for it is "partial 16S ribosomal RNA". It matches the Rfam family "Bacterial small subunit ribosomal RNA", at positions 524 to 776 of the family's 1533-position model. The record is from RNAcentral.